UCACACAAGAGACCCAAGUUAAUCGUACACGGCGUAAAGAGUGGACCCAUGAUAUCACAAUAAUUAAGGCUAAAACGUAACUGAGCUGUCAUAAGCCCAAGAUACACUUAAAAUCACCCUAAAAACGGCCUUAACCUACGCGAUUAAUUAAAUUCCACGAAAGCCAGGGCACAAACUGGGAUUAGAUACCCCACUAUGCCUGGCCUUAAAUCUUGAUGCUUGCCCUACUAAAACAUCCGCCCGAGAACUACGAGCACAAACGCUUAAAACUCUAAGGACUUGGCGGUGCCCCAAACCCACCUAGAGGAGCCUGUUCUGUAAUCGACAACCCACGAUACACCCGACCACUUCUUGCCAAAACAGCCUAUAUACCGCCGUCGCCAGCUCACCUCUCCUGAGAGCCCAACAGUGAGCACAAUCGCCCUAACCCCGCUAACAAGACAGGUCAAGGUAUAGCCUAUGAAGUGGAAGAAAUGGGCUACAUUUUCUAACCUAGAAAACCCCUCCUUAAACGAAAGGGAGUGUGAAACAACUCCCAGAAGGUGGAUUUAGCAGUAAAGUGGGAUAAUAAAGCCCCCUUUAAACCGGCUCUGAGGCACGUACAUACCGCCCGUCACCCUCCUCACAAGCUCUAACCCCUAAUAAAUAAUACACCCCCUUGCCAAAGAUGAGGUAAGUCGUAACAAGGUAAGUGUACCGG
This 700-nucleotide ribosomal RNA is filed under the name Ducula rufigaster. RNAcentral's name for it is "partial 12S ribosomal RNA". It matches the Rfam family "Bacterial small subunit ribosomal RNA", at positions 521 to 1508 of the family's 1533-position model. Lineage: Eukaryota; Metazoa; Chordata; Aves; Columbiformes; Columbidae. The record is from RNAcentral.